Molecule: ribosomal RNA, 385 nt
Filed under: uncultured Methanosaeta sp.
Lineage: Archaea; Methanobacteriati; Methanobacteriota; Methanomicrobia; Methanotrichales; Methanotrichaceae
Description: bacterial SSU rRNA
Rfam family: Archaeal small subunit ribosomal RNA
Source: RNAcentral
CAGGCUGAAGACCUUACCCGAUUAGCUGAGAGGUGGUGCAUGGCCGUCGUCAGUUCGUACUGUGAAGCAUCCUGUUAAGUCAGGCAACGAGCGAGACCCACGUCCACAGUUGCCAGCAUACCCGUCCGGGGUGAUGGGUACACUGUGGAGACCGCCGCUGCUAAAGCGGAGGAAGGAGUGGGCAACGGUAGGUCAGUAUGCCCCGAAUCUCCCGGGCUACACGCGGGCUACAAUGGUUGGUACAAUGGGCAUCUACCCCGAAAGGGGAAGGAAAUCUCUUAAAGCCAAUCGUAGUUCGGAUUGAGGGCUGCAACUCGCCCUCAUGAAGCUGGAAUCCGUAGUAAUCGCGUUUCAACAGAACGCGGUGAAUACGUCCCUGCUCCUU